GAUGAACGCUGGCGGCGUGCCUAAUACAUGCAAGUCGAGCGAACAGACGAGGAGCUUGCUCCUCUGACGUUAGCGGCGGACGGGUGAGUAACACGUGGAUAACCUACCUAUAAGACUGGAUAACUUCGGGAAACCGGAGCUAAUACCGGAUAAUAUAUUGAACCGCAUGGUUCAAUAGUGAAAGACGGUUUUGCUGUCACUUAUAGAUGGAUCCGCGCCGCAUUAGCUAGUUGGUAAGGUAACGGCUUACCAAGGCAACGAUGCGUAGCCGACCUGAGAGGGUGAUCGGCCACACUGGAACUGAGACACGGUCCAGACUCCUACGGGAGGCAGCAGUAGGGAAUCUUCCGCAGUGGGCGAAAGCCUGACGGAGCAACGCCGCGUGAGUGAUGAAGGUCUUCGGAUCGUAAAACUCUGUUAUUAGGGAAGAACAAAUGUGUAAGUAACGAUGCACGUCUUGACGGUACCUAAUCAGAAAGCCACGGCUAACUACGU
RNAcentral lists this ribosomal RNA (495 nucleotides) under uncultured bacterium. Its description in RNAcentral is "partial 16S ribosomal RNA". It matches the Rfam family "Bacterial small subunit ribosomal RNA", at positions 28 to 506 of the family's 1533-position model. The record is from RNAcentral.